RNAcentral lists this ribosomal RNA (375 nucleotides) under uncultured bacterium. RNAcentral's name for it is "bacterial SSU rRNA". It matches the Rfam family "Bacterial small subunit ribosomal RNA", at positions 521 to 896 of the family's 1533-position model. The record is from RNAcentral.
UAAUACGUAGGCAGCAAGCGUUGUUCGGAGUUACUGGGCGUAAAGAGUGCGUAGGCGGUGUCGUAAGUUUGGUGUGAAAUCUCCCGGCUUAACUGGGAGGGUGCGCCGAAAACUGCGAUGCUCGAGUGUGGGAGAGGUAAGCGGAAUUCCUGGUGUAGCGGUGAAAUGCGUAGAUAUCAGGAGGAACACCGGUGGUGUAGACGGCUUACUGGACCACGACUGACGCUGAGGCACGAAAGCGUGGGGAGCAAACAGGAUUAGAUACCCUGGUAGUCCACGCCCUAAACGAUGCAUACUUGGUGUGAGCCAUUCAUUUGGUUCGUGCCGGAGCUAACGCGUUAAGUAUGCCGCCUGGGGAGUACGGUCGCAAGGCUG